Molecule: ribosomal RNA, 301 nt
Filed under: uncultured bacterium
Lineage: Bacteria
Description: partial 16S ribosomal RNA
Rfam family: Bacterial small subunit ribosomal RNA
Source: RNAcentral
CAGCCGCCGCGGUAAUACGAAGGGUGCAAGCGUUACUCGGAAUUACUGGGCGUAAAGCGUGCGUAGGUGGUGGUUUAAGUCCGUUGUGAAAGCCCUGGGCUCAACCUGGGAAUUGCAGUGGAUACUGGAUCACUAGAGUGUGGUAGAGGAUAGUGGAAUCUCCGGUGUAGCAGUGAAAUGCGUAGAGAUCGGAAGGAACAUCUGUGGCGAAGGCGACUAUCUGGGCCAACACUGACACUGAGGCACGAAAGCGUGGGGAGCAAACAGGAUUAGAUACCCCCGUAGUCCCUGUCUCUUAUAU